This 465-nucleotide ribosomal RNA is filed under the name uncultured bacterium. RNAcentral describes it as "partial 16S ribosomal RNA". It matches the Rfam family "Bacterial small subunit ribosomal RNA", at positions 338 to 795 of the family's 1533-position model. The record is from RNAcentral.
CCUACGGGAGGCAGCAGUAGGGAAUCUUCCACAAUGGGCGAAAGCCUGAUGGAGCGACGCCGCGUGGGUGAAGAAGGUCUUCGGAUCGUAAAACCCUGUUGUUAGAGAAGAAAGUGCGUGAGAGUAACUGUUCACGUUUCGACGGUAUCUAACCAGAAAGCCACGGCUAACUACGUGCCAGCAGCCGCGGUAAUACGUAGGUGGCAAGCGUUAUCCGGAUUUAUUGGGCGUAAAGGGAACGCAGGCGGUCUUUUAAGUCUGAUGUGAAAGCCUUCGGCUUAACCGGAGUAGUGCAUUGGAAACUGGGAGACUUGAGUGCAGAAGAGGAGAGUGGAACUCCAUGUGUAGCGGGGAAAUGCGUAGAUAUAUGGAAGAACACCAGUGGCGAAAGCGGCUCUCUGGGCUGUAACUGACGCUGAGGUUCGAAAGCGUGGGUAGCAAACAGGAUUAGAUACCCGAGUAGUC